UCGAUGUUGAAUUUUGGCAAC
Molecule: microRNA, 21 nt
Filed under: Picea abies (Norway spruce)
Lineage: Eukaryota; Viridiplantae; Streptophyta; Pinopsida; Pinales; Pinaceae
Description: pab-miR11517
Source: miRBase by way of RNAcentral